Molecule: ribosomal RNA, 253 nt
Filed under: uncultured bacterium
Lineage: Bacteria
Description: partial 16S ribosomal RNA
Rfam family: Bacterial small subunit ribosomal RNA
Source: RNAcentral
UACAGAGGUCUCAAGCGUUGUUCGGAUUCAUUGGGCGUAAAGGGCGCGUAGGCGGUGCGGUAAGUCACUUGUGAAAUCUCCGAGCUUAACUCGGAACGGCCAAGUGAUACUGCAGUACUAGAGUGCGGAAGGGGCAAUCGGAAUUCUUGGUGUAGCGGUGAAAUGCGUAGAUAUCAAGAGGAACACCUGAGGUGAAGACGGGUUGCUGGGCCGACACUGACGCUGAUGCGCGAAAGCCAGGGGAGCAAACGGG